GACGAACGCUGGCGGCGUGCUUAACACAUGCAAGUCGAGCGGAAAGGCCCUUCGGGGUACUCGAGCGGCGAACGGGUGAGUAACACGUGAGGAACCUGCCCUGGACUUUGGGAUAACUCUCGGAAACGGGGGCUAAUACCGGAUACGACACUUCACCGCAUGGUGUGGGUGUGGAAAGUUUUUCGGUCUGGGAUGGUCUC
Molecule: ribosomal RNA, 200 nt
Filed under: uncultured bacterium
Lineage: Bacteria
Description: partial 16S ribosomal RNA
Rfam family: Bacterial small subunit ribosomal RNA
Source: RNAcentral